Molecule: transfer RNA, 70 nt
Filed under: Entelurus aequoreus (snake pipefish)
Lineage: Eukaryota; Metazoa; Chordata; Actinopteri; Syngnathiformes; Syngnathidae
Description: tRNA-Trp
Source: RNAcentral
GAGGGAUUAUUUUAAUUUAUACUAGGGGCCUUAAAAGACCCCUGUGGGAGUUAAAACCUCCUAACCCUUA